GCGUGGCAUCCGAGGGCAUCCGUGGUGUCAGGUGAGGGGGCCGGGCAGGGGGUUGGAGUGAACCGGUAUUCUACCAAUUACUCCGUGCAUGGCCGGGAAGAAGUCAUCCGACUCCGCUAAGCCACUGGUUCAUGUCGAUGACAUGCUAAUAACAGCGUCACUUCUCUAGGAGUGGGAGGGGAAAAUCAAAUGAUAAAAGGUAUUCAGAAAGUUGAACAAGUUUCUGGGAAAAUGGGAAACCAGCAUCAAUUUGGGAGAUGGCGCAGGACUCCCCGCUCCCUGCUCCUCCUGUUCCAGCAAACAGGUUUUCUGUUGUCCCUUCUCUGUCAUCCCUUCCCCAGGCUCAGGGUACCUCAUGGACUUCUAAGUUAAUAGAUGCUUCUAGAAGGCUGUGUCUUCUCCCCAAGAUCCAGGGCUGGUGGGGGCAGCUCUGAGGGCAGGAGGAAGGCAGGGGCCAACUCCAGGCUGGCAGGGCGGGUCCACAGGCUUCCUGAUGACAUAGAUCACCCACCUGCAGAGCGAGGCAGGGUUUCUGAAACCACGAGUCCCUUUUACCCACGAAACCCCAAACCUGCCGCUCAAUGAGGUGAUAAACAACUCUUGUGCUUUCAGACAUGGGAAAAGGGUACUUCAGGCAGGCACCUUACUUCCAAAAGCAUCGUUUUCAAGUCAAGGGCCUCUUAGUUCUGAACACAAGAGAGAAACACGGUGCCUGGGUGAAGGGGUGAUUGGAUUGUUAAGCCAGUGGGAGGAUUUGCCAGGCGUGGGGGGGAAAUCUGGGAAAGAGAUUUUGUCCUUUUUUUUUUUUUUCUGUAUGCCAACAAAGCUCAAGGACUUGACUUCCCAAAGGAACACACUAUUGAUUAUGAAACAUGCAGUUUUUAAGCGUGAUAUUUAUUUUCAUUCAAGUGAUAGAAAAGUCAUGGACCUGCAGUUUUUUACGACUCAGAACGAAAGAUUCACUUUCCUCCUUGAAAGGUCCUCAUUCACUCUCACCCCUGCCUGUCUCCAGUAUUAGAGGCUGUCGCCUGGUCCUGCAGUUCCCACUCCUGGCUCUGAGCUUGCAGGGGACAGGGACCUGGGCCACCCAACCCACUGCGAUGUUCUGUUGAAAGAAAAGAAAAAAUUUUAUUCACUCCAUGCAGCCGUUCCCCUGCGUUUGCAAAGAGAGGAAUAACGGUGGGAGUGGGGACAGGGGCAGUUAAAUCUCCAGGCAUGAGCCCAGAGCUCUCAGUUCAGUAGCUCUCGGUAGGACCUGGGAAGCUGCAUUCUUAGCAAAGGCCUCCAUCCCCUUGCCCCCAGGUGAUUCUCAAAUGUGUUUUUCCUAGGACCCCAUUUCGUGCUAAGGACGAGGCCUGCCAUGAUACUUCUUCUAGCUGCCAAAAUCUUUGAUUUCAGGGGUUGUUACAUUUACACCCAUACGGUCUUAUUAUGAAAUCAUUGUCUGAUUUUAUGGGUGGAGAAAUGAAGGCUCAGAGGGAUUAGAUAAACUCCCUCCUGGUCACACAGUGAAGAAGUUGGAGGUUUUACUAGUGUUUGUGCAGUUCCUACCCUCUUUCAUCUCUCUGACAAAUACAGGGGCUUCUGUUUCCUCACCUGCUAGUAGAUACAAUAAGGUACUAUUUAAGGUUAAAUAAGGUACUAUUAGGUCAAACCACAUGAAACUGUUGACAUUCAACUAUUUAUAACCCCCACAAGCAGCGCUUUCAAAUGGGUCUGUCUAAUAAUUGCCAAGUACUGAGAAAAGUACCCAGCAUCAAGUACCAGCUCAGUAAAUAUAUCAAGUAUUAUUAGAAGCUCUUGUGGGUGGAAUUGUGUUCCCUGAAUAUACGUUGACUUCCUAAGGCCCGGACUGUGAACGUGACCUUCUUUGGCUCCAGUCUUUGAAGAUGCCAUGAGCUAAGUUCACAGGAGGUCAGACUGGAUGAGGGUAGGCCCUCAGUGCAGUGAUCGGUGUCCUUAUAAGGAGAGAGACUUUGGUAGACAGACACAUGCAGGGCAGGUGGCCAUGUGAAUAUGGGGCCAGAAAUUGGACCGAGGCGGCUGCCAGCCAAGGAAAGCCAAGGAUUUCCGGUAACCAGCAGAAGCUGGGAGAAACAGGGAGGCAAUCCACUCGGGUUUUCAAAGGGCACGGGCCGGGCAGCACCUUGAUUUCGGACGUGCGGCUGAAAAUUGUGGCAGAACAAAUUCCUGUCGUUGGACGCCUCCGAGACCAUGACCGUGGGUUACAGCCCCCUGCCAAGGAAACUCACACGGAAGCUUCAUGCCUCUGGUCAGCCCUGUGACCACCACCCCAAGCAGCAGCAUCGUCUUCUGGAGGAACAAGCUGGGGCAGCGGGCUCAGAUCACACAACAGUGAGCUCGGCCGGCGCUGAUGGAGAUACUCAGUCUCCAUCACACCUUCCUCUUGGACUCACCCAACCCAGAGGGAUUUGAUUUCCGCCCCCAUUUUUAAAAGAUUCUUUUACAAUAUACGCACACAUUUGGGCUGUUUUGAUGCUUUCCCAAGCUCCCUCCAGCUUGUGUAAUGUAGACCUGUCCCUGGGGGAAUGUUCAAGAGACAGAAAGACGGAAAAAUGGUAGCCGCAGAACACUGGGUAAACAUUAGUUCCUUUCAUAGCCUUCCUUUCUUGGAUGACAAGUCUGUGGCGGGGCCCCCAAAUCCCAAGGAGGCCCACUUCAAACAUUUAUUUGGAUCCAUCUAAAGGGUCAAGGACCCACUACAUAAAAAGUCCCUUAACAUACCCUGUUCAGACAGAUUUUGCUGGCACAAAAAUUCCAAUAUGGAAUCUCUGACCCAUGUUGUAUUUCUUUUUCAAUCAAUACAAAGUUUCCAGUGAUCUUUGUUUCACUUUUUUGGCCAGAAGAGACCCUUCACCAGUGUUCCCCUCUUACUCUCUACUCUCACCAAAAAUGGAAGUAAAUUAAAAAAAAAAAUCCUGAUGCUCUAAAUUCUGUCUGUUCAGGGAUUGGAUUUUCCAAAUAAAAAAGCAGACACAGAAGCCGUGAUUGACAGUGGGGCAGAAGAUACAAAAUCUGAAUUACGGAGUUCCCGUGGUGGCGCAGCAGUAACUGUAAUGAACCCGACUGUUUCCCAUGAGAACUCAGGUUAGAUUCCCUGACCUCAAUCAGUUGCUUAAGGAUCCAGUGUUGCUGUGAGCUGUGUUGUAGGCUGAAGACGUAGCUCAUAUCUGGCAUUGCUAUGGCUGUGGUGUAGGCUGGCAACUACAGCUCUGAUUCAACCGCUAGCCUGAGGACUUCCACAUGCUGUGGGUUCAACC
Molecule: long non-coding RNA, 3281 nt
Filed under: Sus scrofa (pig)
Lineage: Eukaryota; Metazoa; Chordata; Mammalia; Artiodactyla; Suidae
Description: lncRNA (ENSSSCG00000058089.1)
Source: RNAcentral